This 1563-nucleotide long non-coding RNA is filed under the name Anas platyrhynchos platyrhynchos (common mallard). RNAcentral describes it as "lncRNA (ENSAPLG00000020008.1)". The record is from RNAcentral. Lineage: Eukaryota; Metazoa; Chordata; Aves; Anseriformes; Anatidae.
CUAUGGUCAAAAUUUGUCUUAAAAAAAGUUAGAUUUUGGAACUGAUACACAAAUUAAGAAGCUUAAGAGUUGAUUUUCUAUUUACAAGGUAAAAUAAAUACAGUCAAGCUCUUCUAUGGUGAAAAUUGUGGUAUUAAAAACUGUUCUCAAAUACUCUAAUUUUAAAGUGAACAGAGUGUGUUUAGGACACAUAAAAAGCAACUAAACAAGCAAAACACUAGAGACGCACAGUAUAUAUAAUAUUCUUUAAAAACUUCCUUUAUAAAAAGAAAUGUUUGUUGAGUUGAAGAGGACUGAUUUGCCUAAAUGCUGAGUUUCCCAUCUGUACAGUAAACUUCCUUAUGUGGCAUGAAGUCAUAAGUGAUUAAGGAAUCUCAUCUGGGACCUGGAAAAGCAAAGCUGGAAUCGACAAGACAGGCGGGAGGAAUUUCUUGGCUCCCUUUCUGGAGAAUCGGCAUUGCAAGACUGGUAAAGGAAAACCCAGAUCCUAUUAUUAGCCAGGAGUUCAAAACUAGCAAGUUUAUUCAAUCAGUUCCAGUUCAGCUGUAUCUGAAAUUUCCUCCCAUCUCUUCCUCCACCGGUCCAGUGUUGAUCAGGUCCUCACAUUCUUUGAAGCAAUACUCCAUGUGUCCUGAGAUGAGUGCUGGUUUGGGUUUACAUACCAAGGUUUUGGUAGUGGGGGGCUGCAGGGAUGUCCUCUAUGAGAAGAGUCCAGAAGCUGCCCCAUGUUAGAUAAGGAUCAGUUUCAGGGGGCUCCAAAGGCUCCACUGCUGCCCAGAGCCAAGCCAAUAAGCGAUGUGUCAUAAAUCCUACCCAAAUAAGUGCUUUCAAGAUGUCUGAUAACAUGAAAUACUAACCUUAAUGGCAUUACUUGAUCUUCUUGAAUUCAGGCUCUGACUGGGAUAUUUCAGUCGCUAUACAAGUUAAGCUUUUCCUCAUGGUAAUUGUUAUUAUUAUCUUGGUAAGAAAAAAAAAAAGAGUAGGUUGAAAUCCUUUCUAACUCAAUUUAAAAUUGUAUGCACAUACAUAUUUCUUUGAUAGUCCAGGCAAAAGACUUUGGCCCAUAAAUUUUAUUUCCAGCAUUAUAAUUUUUAGCAAAUGCUUCCUUAAAUUACAGCAUGCAGGUCUAGAUUUCAAACCUGUGUUUCUAUAAGCAAAUUUUGCUGCAAAAGUAAACAAGAUAAUGGUAGAUUUGUGGGUUAAUAUGUUGUAUGGUUCAGGAACACACUGUAUAACAUAAUUGUUUGAAUUUUGCAUAUGUUUAUAGAUAGAUUAAUUUAUAGGUUUGAUUGAAUGUGCUCUCUGUUGUGAUGCAAGAUUUGCAUAACUAAGAUUUAGAUUCAGUUGAUAUGUCAAUUUACUUUGCGUACCUACUUGCAAAAAAUAGUGAGAUUAUGCAGUGAAAUUAUAUAGAGUGAUGCAGAUUAUUUUUCCCCAAAUUGCACCGGUGGUUUCCAAUUAUUGCUUAAAUGUUCCUAUAUACUGUGCCAGCCACAAAGUAAUGUUCCUAAAUUCAUAUUCACCUCUUAAACAAAAAAUAAAAUAAAAAUAUGGAAGACUUCA